GACGAACGCUGGCGGCGUGCCUAAUACAUGCAAGUAGAACGCACAGUUUAUACCGUAGCUUGCUACACCAUAGACUGUGAGUUGCGAACGGGUGAGUAACGCGUAGGUAACCUGCCUGGUAGCGGGGGAUAACUAUUGGAAACGAUAGCUAAUACCGCAUAAUAUUGAUUAUUGCAUGAUAAUUAAUUGAAAGGUGCAAUUGCACCACUACCAGAUGGACCUGCGUUGUAUUAGCUAGUAGGUGAGGUAACGGCUCACCUAGGCGACGAUACAUAGCCGACCUGGGAGGGGGAUCGGCCACCCUGGGACGGAGACACGGCCCAGACUCCUACGGGAGGCAGCAGUAGGGAAUCUUCGGCAAUGGACGAAAGUCUGACCGAGCAACGCCGCGUGAGUGAAGAAGGGUUUCGGAUCGUAAAGCUCUGUUGUAAGAGAAGAACGGGUGUGAGAGUGGAAAGUUCACACUGUGACGGUAUCUGACCAGAAAGGGACGGCUAACUACGUG
RNAcentral lists this ribosomal RNA (505 nucleotides) under uncultured bacterium. Its description in RNAcentral is "partial 16S ribosomal RNA". It matches the Rfam family "Bacterial small subunit ribosomal RNA", at positions 28 to 507 of the family's 1533-position model. The record is from RNAcentral.